This is a long non-coding RNA of Solea senegalensis (Senegalese sole), 1816 nucleotides long. RefSeq lists it as uncharacterized. The transcript is spliced from 3 exons. NCBI's taxonomy places the organism in Eukaryota, Metazoa, Chordata, Actinopteri, Pleuronectiformes, Soleidae. The record is from RefSeq and is a predicted model, not a curated record.
UUCACCACUUUGAUUGGCGACAAGACAGGUCGACUCCAUUUGCCUCCUCUCAUACAGUUCUACACGGUAUUUUACUACUUGGUCAACAGCCGGCGGGUCUUUGCCAAACAGGUGUCACGGGUCGCCUACAACCAAUUCUUCAAAAGUCAACAACCAGCAGUUUAUCCAUGAGCGCAAACUCUUGGCAUCAAAUGGGAGCAAACGGUGAUCGUGUCCUCCUGGUGAGUCAAGGAGAAGCAGGUGACAGACACAUAUCAGCCUCAGGUAACACCAUCAGAGUGAGGAAGGUAAGAGAGAGGGGUGAAUGAUAUGUAAGAAUAGGAGGGAAGGAGAGAGGGAUGGUGUCAGUUGCUCUUUUUUUCUUCCUUGACAUUAAACGUCCUUGACAUAGGUGUAAUGAUACUACUCUUACUCUUUACCUCUUCGUAACGCCACCUUCCUUUACCUUAGAUCUACAUGCAACAGACCUAUAUGUCAUGUGUUUGUGUUCAAUGCGAUCCUCAGCUGAACCUAAUCUUCCAUAUUCACUGAGCCGCUUUUAGCAAAAUGGAGAACCAAACGGCCAAAACUACAAUCAUCAUUUAUCGUGGUCUCAGAGUUGCCGUCAGUCAUUGAUGGGUUGGUGAUUCUCUCUCUCUCUGGGCCUCAACACUGACACAAACACCAUCACCUUUAUGGGAUUUAUUGGGAUCAGAGUGACACUCACAGCAGAUGUGCAACAUUAACAUUCAAAUUAGCUUUUAUUUGAAUCGCUUCACAAUGUUUGAACAUCAGGGCUCCACAUAUCGAAAGACAAUGGUGAAAAUUGGAUGGCAGGUGUGUCACCUGGUUUCACUGUUAUGUGAGCACUGGCAAAAAAACAAAAAACACAAACCGGUUUUCCUUCACCACUGAAAAGACAUGGCAACGGCAAACUGCCAAAAACAUGAGACAACAAAACCUUAUUUACAUACAACGUGCCUAACUUUGGGCCACGUUGUCGACAACAGUGUUUUGGGUUACACUUGGAAUAUAAAAGUAAAAAAACAAGACAUUAUGUAGUGACUGGACUUCCCAUUUUGCUGUUCCACAUUUACACCUGAAAUCAACACAUGUAACAUGUUACUUAAAUAACCGCUUCAAUUCAUUUUUAUGGGUGAUUGACCUGAAGUGAACCUUGCUCGUCAUGUAGGUUUUGUGAGGUGGUAAGAACUCUAUGAAAAGUGUGUAACUUGAUAUGAAAUACCACCGUUAUGUCUUCUUUUUAACCAGUGGAAACAAGAUAAAUUGAUAUUUACUUCAGGGUCAAUUGACUCCGUGUUCUGCAUUACUGAAACACACAAAUGUCUUUGUCUGCUCUAUUUUUGCUAGUGAUGCAACAUCCCUGGUGCAAAGCUACGGUGUGCAUUCAUCGUUUACCCAUUGGUGUAGUACACUCACAAAUCUUUAAUGUGAAAGAGAUUUCAAUGAUGGCAACCAGGACCAACAAAUGUUUUCAAAAAACUUUCUUUGUUUCUUUAAGUGAUUGCAACAUUGUUUUUUUUGUUUGUUUGUUUGGUUUUUUUUGGCAAUAUGGUCUUAAGAACAGCAAUUAAGCUUUGGCAAACCUGGUUUCUUUUAUGCUGAUAUUGUACUCAUUCUUUUUUCUUUGUUUCCUCUACUGCAAUAAAUGUCAUUCAUUAAUGGUCUGUAAAUGAAAGACAUUUGUUAACAAGUUUGAAAAUGAAUUGAAUGCUUCCUUGAUUAUCUGAAAUGAUUAUCUGAACACCAGAGAUGAAACCAGUUUAGUUCUUGACAUUAAAAGGCUCCAACUGUUGUGCAGCCGUUCCUGCUUCAA